ACAUUGGCGCAGAGAGGGACAGUGCACGCUCAGCCACGCUGGAGGCGUGGGGCUGGGGCAAGCCCUCGACAGCCCCGGGCCCGCCACCUGAGCUUCGGGUACCCGACUACGACCUCAGAUCAGUCGUGAUGACCCGCUCAAUUUAAGCAUAUUACUAAGCAGAGGAAACUAAACUAACCAGGAUUCUCUCAGUAACUGCUAGUGAAGAGGGAAGAGCCCAGCGCUGAAUCCCCAUCCAGCGGCAGGUGCAGGAAAUGUGGUGUACAGAAGACCAACUCCCCAGAGUCGCUCGGUUGGCCCAAGUCCUUCUGUUCAAGGCUCUGCCCGCGGAUGGUUGUUAGGCUGCUAGGGCCCUUGGUGUGCCGGGAUCGGGUCUUCCUGGAGUAUUUUUGCUUGGGAAUGCAUCCCAAAGCCAGUGGUAAACUCCACCUAAGGCUAAACACGGGCGCGAGACUGAUAGCCAAGUACCGUAAGGGAAUGUUGAAAAGAACUUUGAAGAGAGAGUUAAAGAGUGUGUGAAACAGGUGAGCGGUAAACAGGUGGGGUCCGUGCAGUCCACCUUUAGGACUCAACACGGCGGGCUGGUUGGUCACCCGGAACGGUGGAUGCCCUCGUGAGACCUCUGCAUGCAGGCACCGACCCCUUCAGGGCGCAUUUCCUCUGUGGCGGUGAACCGUGACCGUCUCUGGCCAGCUGAGAAGACCCCAAGGCGUAGGUGGCUCUCCACUCUAGCAGAGAGUGUUAAAGCCCCCUGGCAGCUGUUUUGCUUUGCCCGCAGGGCCAAGGCAGAUUGACUGCCACUGUGCCCUCCUCCAGCAACCGUCCCGGCCCCUCUUGGGAGUCGCUGGAGCAGCAUCUGGGGACGGGCCCCCUGCCACCCAUGGGACUGUCGACUGGGGUGGACUGUCCUCAGUGGGACAGGCUCACGAAGGCACGAGGGUCUGCAGUGGUAAUCAGUUACUGACCCGCCUUGAAACACGUACCAAGGUAUCUAAUACGAGUGCCGAAUGAUAACUGUGGCGCAAUGAAGAUGAGGUGGGAUCCCGUUGCAGUGAGCGCACCACCGACCCAUCUCUCCCGCUCUGUCAGGGAGGUGGAGCUUGAGUGUGUGUGAUAGGACCUGAAAGAUGGUGAACUAUGCUAGAGCAAACUCUGGUGGAGGUCUGUGCAGUCCUGACAGGCAAAUUGGUCAUUCAACCUCGGUAUAAGGGCAUAGCCGUCCAAAGUUUCCUGCUUGACAACCCCAGUUUUAUCUGGUAAAGCAAAUGAUUAGAAGUCUUGGGGCUGAAACUAUCUCAAACUAUUCUCAAGCUUAAAAUGGGUAAGAAGCCCAUGGACACGAGCCGGACCCUUCCUGUGGAUCGCCUAGCUGCAGUGGUUGGCAUUCUGUCUCAGCCGACGCCUAGCAGCUGACUGAGAACUUGUGUGUACCAGGGGAAUUUGACUGCUUAAUUAAAACAAAGCAUUGCAAAGGCCUGCAGCGUAUGUUGACGUGAUUGUAUUUCUGCCCGGUGCUCUGAAUGUCAAAAUGAAGAAAUUCAAUGAAGCACGGGCAACGGCGGCAGUGACUAUGACUCUCUUAAGGUAGUCAAAUGCCUUGUCAUCUAAUUAGUCACGCGCAUGAAGGAUGAACAAGAUUUCCACUGUUCCUACCUACUAUCUAACAAAACCACAGCCAAGGGAACAGGCUUGGCAGAAUCAGUGGUCAAAGAAGACACUGUGCUUGACUCUAGUCUGGCACUGUGAAGAGACAUGAGAGGUGUAAGAGAAGUGGAAGGCCCUCAGGCCCCCGGUGAAAUACCACUACUCUUGUUUUUUCACUUACCUGGUAAGGCGUGGGUUGGGGGUACGAGCCCUGCGGGCCCCUCGCUUCUGGCUCCAAGCACCUGGCACCCACCGGGUGUAAUCCACUUCAGGGACAGUAGCAGAUAGCGAAUUUGACUGGGGCUGUCCACCUGUCAAACGAUAAAACAGGUGUCAUAAGGUGAGCUCAGAGAAGACAGAAACCUCCCGCGGAGCAGAAGGGCAAAAGCUUGCUUGAUCUCGAUUUUCAGUCUGAAUAUAGACCGUGAAAGUGGGGCCUCCCUAUCCUUCAGACUUUUUUGGUUUCAAGCAGGAGGUAUCAGAAAAGUUACCACAAGGAUAACAGGCUUGUGACGGCCAAGCGUUCAUAGGGAUGUCGCAUUUUGAUCUUUUGAUGUCGGCUCUUCCUAUCAUUGUGAAGCAGAAUUCACCAAGCGUUGGAUUGUUCACCAAUAAUGAGGGACCUGAGUUGGGUUUAGACCAUCGUGAGACAGGUUAGUUUUACCCUACUGAUGAUGUGUUGUUGCAAUAGUAAUCCUGCUCAGUACGAGAGGAACUGCAGCUUCAGACAUUUAGUGUAUGUGUUUGGCUUAGGAGCCAAUGGGACAAAGCUACCAUCUGUGGAUUAUGACUUUACGCCUCUAAGUGAGAAUCCCCCCUAAAUCGUAACGAUAGUGCAGCGCUGUGGAGCCUCAGUUGGUCUAGUAUAGCCGGCCUCUGGGCCGGUGCGUAGAGUUGCUCGGCUCGGGACUCGAGUGUGGACAGAAGAGGCAACCUCUCUCGCCCAUAGUGCACUGCAUGUUCA
Molecule: ribosomal RNA, 2608 nt
Filed under: Ambystoma mexicanum (axolotl)
Lineage: Eukaryota; Metazoa; Chordata; Amphibia; Caudata; Ambystomatidae
Description: eukaryotic LSU rRNA
Rfam family: Eukaryotic large subunit ribosomal RNA
Source: RNAcentral